Molecule: non-coding RNA, 206 nt
Organism: Heterocephalus glaber (naked mole-rat)
Lineage: Eukaryota; Metazoa; Chordata; Mammalia; Rodentia; Bathyergidae
Source: RefSeq, a predicted model, not a curated record
GUCCACAGGGAAAGCAGGAGGAGAAAGGACCCAAGCCAGAUGCCCCUCUCACUUGGGCCCUGCCCCGAUUUCAUGCUUGACUCUGAGUUCACUCAACAGGAAGCAUUCUGGCAAAUCUUUUCAAAAGCUGGAAUCAAACUAAGCAAUGCACAGAAGCCAAAGGGACAGGGAAGACUGGAAUCCUGGAAUGUCGAAGAUCUCUGAAG